UACAGAGGGUGCGAGCGUUAAUCGGAAUUACUGGGCGUAAAGCGCACGUAGGCGGCUUGGUAUGUCGGGUGUGAAAUCCCCCGGCUCAACCGGGGAACUGCACCUGAUACUGUUGGGCUUGAGUGCAGGAGGGGAGAGCGGAAUUCCUGGUGGAGCGGUGAAAUGCGUAGAUAUCAGGAGGAACGCCGGCGGCGAAAGCGGCUCUCUGGCCUGUUACUGACGCUGAGGCGCGAAAGCUAGGGGAGCAAACGGG
RNAcentral lists this ribosomal RNA (253 nucleotides) under uncultured bacterium. RNAcentral's name for it is "partial 16S ribosomal RNA". It matches the Rfam family "Bacterial small subunit ribosomal RNA", at positions 524 to 776 of the family's 1533-position model. The record is from RNAcentral.